AAGCAGGCAGGGACGGAGAGGGGUGAUGGCGCGCCCACCCCUGCAGAGCCGCCUGCGCGGUUGUCCCGCGCGUCCCUGCCGGCGAAGGCUGUGAGAAGCACCGCGGGGCUACGGCGCCUCCAUCCUCUCUAACAGCCGCGCUUACCAGACAGCCAGCCUCCAGUGCUGCUAGGCUACUCCGAGCAGGGGAGAAAAGACACCGGUCCGCCGGGGACCAGGAGGGAGACGUGAAACCAGAGGCCCGGGGGCCCCCUCUCCGCCUGUGCGACUUGUAGUCUCGUACCAGACGCGUCCGCUUCGCUGCUGAAUCUGAAAACGUGGGCUCUUGAGAGCUGCCCUUGGAAGGAGCUGUGCUUUCUGCCUCAUCUUUAACUUUUCGUUUAUUCAGCAAAUAUGUAUCAAGUUCCGACUUCGUGGAAGAGAUUGUGUUAGACACUGGGAAUAAUAGAAACAUAAUUAAGAAGCAGGGGUCCCGGACCUGAAGGGCCUGAGCGUCGGGUUCUUUCAAACUGGGAAAGCUCAUUAAAAGAAAAAUGUGAAAAUCUAUUGGCUGGAUCCUGAACCCUUGGAAGCUCUGUCUGGAUACAUUCUUCUCUGGCAGGAUGCUCUAUGUGGCUCUUUCCAUGUGUAGUUUCCAAUGAAACAGGAAGGACUCUAAUUGAAUGCCUGCCCACAUCUCUACAGCUCCACACCUUCCACUAAGGGCACAAUAAGACCUCCACUGUGAGAGGCUCCACAGUGUACUACGUUGGUGAUGGCAUAUUCUGAGGGGCUGAUCUGCAGAAAAGGCCAAGUGAAAAGUCACCCAAUAAUGAGAAAGGAGGAAGAUGGCAUGUAGAAUGCAUGAAUAGGAAAUUAUAUUGAGAAAUCCAGAUGUGCAGUUGUGCAAGAGCAAGCUGGUGUGGAUUUUUGAAUGGAUAUUCUGAAGACAACUAGGUGCCGGAUGCCAUGUUGUCAGCUGCCCUAUGGAGAGACCCAUGUGGGCAAGGAACUCUGGCCAACAGAUGGUCUGGGUGGUCUCUGGUCCACAGCCAGGGAAGAGCUGAGCACCUCUGACCAGAGGCUUAUGAGAAACUGAAUCCUGCCAGCAAGACACCAACCAAUCCAAAAGUAUCAGCCAUCUCCCUAUGCAGGGUGCCAGAGGACCAGGUUCUAGCCCAUUCAUUGCUGGAUUGCGGAGGACUCCAGGUGGUCUGGGAAAAGGAGUGGAGCAACAUGCAGCAUGUCCCAGCAAAGCUUCGCAAAGAUGUCAGUAUUAAUUGUCACCAUCCUCCAGGGAGAAAGCAACAGCCCACAAUUGCCUGCAUUUUCUUUCCUCUUCAAAACCACUUCUGCUCCAAAGACCAUGAACCUGAACUGAAGAAACGACUCCUUCCUGCUGGCGUGAGAUAAUUCAGUCUCCAUGAUGUCUUAAUCCUGGGCCUCCCUUAAUUGACUUCUAACUGUGCUGAACUGUGGCUGCUAGGAGUUGCAAUGUGGAUCGCAAUUUACAAGGCACUGGAAUCGUUUCUUGUCUUCAAAUUAGUCCUGAGCUGUACUGGAGAAAGAAAAAAAGGGGCCUUUACCCUUCUCGCUGUCUUGUCACCACAAGUGAGACUUUCUUACCAUCUCAGAAUGGAUGGUUGCCUUUUAACAAUUUAGUUAGGGACAGAAAGGAAAAAGAGUUAGGGGUGCCAAUACUUCGUCAAUUUUGUCUUAAUAAAGUUGCCUCACAUGGCC
RNAcentral lists this non-coding RNA (1719 nucleotides) under Pan troglodytes (chimpanzee). The record is from RNAcentral. Lineage: Eukaryota; Metazoa; Chordata; Mammalia; Primates; Hominidae.